AAUGCUGUUAGUUUGAACACAGAGCAACAUUAACUCUUGUGUUGGGCGUGGUUGGUUUGUGUUGGGUGUGGUUGGUUUGUGUUGGGCGUGGUUGGUUUGUGUCGGGCGAGUUUGGUUUGUGUUGGGCGUGGUUGGUUUGUGUUGGGCGUGGUUGGUUUGUGUUGGGUGUGUUUGGUUUGUGUUGGGCGUGGUUGUUUUGUGUUGGGCGUGGUUGGUUUGUGUUGGGCGUGGUUGGUUUGCGUUGGGCGUGGUUGGUUUGAGUUUGGUUUGGUUGGUUUGCGUUGGUCGUGGUUGGUUUGCGUUGGUCGUGGUUGGUUUGCGUUGGUCGUGGUUGGUUUGUGUCGGGCGUGGUUUGUUUGUGUUGGGCUUGGUUGCUUUGUGUUGAGUGUGGUUGGUUUGUGUUGGGCGAGUUUGGUUUGUGUUGGGUGUGGUUGUUUUGUGUUGGGCGUGGUUGGUUUGUGUUGGGCGUGGUUGGUUUGUGUUGGGCGUGGUUGGUUUGCGUUGGGCGUGGUCGGUUUGCGUUGGUCGUGGUUGUUUUGUGUUGGUCGUGGUUGUUUUGUGUUGGGCGUGGUUGUUUUGUGUUGGACGUGGUUGGUUUAUGUUGGGCGUGGUUGGUUUGUGUUGGGCGUGGUUGGUUUGUGUUAGGCGUGGUUGGUUUGUGUUGGGCGUGGUUGGUUUGUGUUGGGCUUGGUUGGUUUGUGUUGGGCGUGGUUGUUUUGUGUUGGGCGUGAUUGGUUUAUGU
Long non-coding RNA from Oncorhynchus tshawytscha (Chinook salmon), 742 nucleotides. Lineage: Eukaryota; Metazoa; Chordata; Actinopteri; Salmoniformes; Salmonidae. The record is from Ensembl.